GGAGGGGAAAGGAGUUAAAAUAUUUACUGUGUAGAGCUAGAAGUUGGAGGUUUGGCUGGAGGUUGUUCGUGUCCUCUGCUUCUAUUGUUCUGCAUUCUUAAGCUUUUGAGGUUGUUUGGGUAAAUCUAAAUUUAGGGUUUAAUUGUCAAAUUUUUAAAAUAAAAAUGAGGGCUCUUGGAGACUUGAGCGAUAUCUUUUUAUUAAGGGCCCGUAAAUUGAUGCCAUUGACUAUUUCUAGUAAGUUUAUGUAGUCACUACUUUAUGAUUUAGAUUAAACUGCUUUGUAGAUUAAUGAAUUUUAUCCAUAUCAUAGUUCUUUUUCCUUUUUUGUUGUUUGUUAAUUACCCUUUGCCUUUCAAUAACCAGCAUGCUUGAUAGUCAAAUACUUU
RNAcentral lists this unclassified non-coding RNA (389 nucleotides) under Hevea brasiliensis (rubber tree). Lineage: Eukaryota; Viridiplantae; Streptophyta; Magnoliopsida; Malpighiales; Euphorbiaceae. The record is from RNAcentral.